CGGAGGGUGCGAGCGUUGUCCGGAAUCACUGGGCGUAAAGGGCGCGUAGGUGGCCUGUGGAAGUCUGCGGUGAAAGCCCGGCGCUCAACGCCGGGUCGGCCGUGGAUACUCUCGGGCUCGAGCUUACUAGAGGCAGAUGGAAUUCCGGGUGUAGCGGUGGAAUGCGUAGAGAUCCGGAAGAACACCUGCGGCGAAGGCGGGUUGCUGGGCUGACACUGACGCUGAUGCGCGAAAGCUAGGGGAGCGAACGGGAUUAGAUACCCCGGUAGUCCUAGCCUUAAACGAUGAAUGCUUGGUGUCUGGGGUUCUAUAGUCCCCGGGUGCCGUCGCUAACGCUUUAAGCAUUCCGCCUGGGGGAGUACGGUCGCAAGACUG
Molecule: ribosomal RNA, 375 nt
Filed under: uncultured organism
Description: bacterial SSU rRNA
Rfam family: Bacterial small subunit ribosomal RNA
Source: RNAcentral